UCCUAUACAUGUAAGCGCCUACAACCUGAUGUCCCCAACACGGUUGUGCCCUCUCGUGGCUCGUGGGUUUGGACAUCCGUUUCGGCGUCCUUACUUUCCUCCUUCGUGAGUUCCUUACUAUACUCCAUUGUAUUUCUUCAUCUAAUAUAAGGAGGCAUGGAAAGUCGUCCAGUUUAUGCGCGGAAGUAUUACUGGAUUGUCAUCGUGUUUCUUGAAUGUUGUCAAGUAGUAAAAUUGAGUUAUGGUCAUAUCGAUUUUUCUAAUGGAUUCCUGUAUUUUGCCAGGGGCUUGCUACAGUCUUGCUUUCAGUUCUGACAGUUGUUGUUUCUCGUCGGGUCGAAAUGAGGUAUGAGUCGAUGCUUAAUUUUUGUUAUGUGUCUUACUUAACACUACUGUUAUUUCUAGCAGAAGGGUCAGCUGGGACAUGGGGACACUCUUGUGUAACCCGUCGACUGUUUUUUUCUAAACUAUCAAACUAAGAAAAUCAUUUGCACUGUCCUCCAUUUUAAUUUUCUAUGGUAUUGUCGUAUUCCUUAAUCCAUGAAUAUAUUAGCAUACAAAACUUAUAUCAUUCAGGACCAUGGGUGUAGCUCUUGCAGUUCUAUGGGAAUUGGACCAUAUGGGAAGCUGAUUUUACAUCUACAUUCUAACUCUGCUCUUAUUGUUUUGUUUCCCUGACUCGAUGUUGUUCUAUAUUUGGUGCAGAAACUAAGGUGUUACGUCUCACCUCUCCAGUGACCACCCUCGCGCCUCCUCUCCUCCUACAUAUUACUUUUGCGCUUCCCCACCAACGGACCUUCCGCCAUGCCCGCGUCCGUCAUGCCCACGAUGCAGCCGUGGUGGUAUGACCGGCCGUAGCCCAAUGUCACGGUGGGGAGG
RNAcentral lists this long non-coding RNA (879 nucleotides) under Hordeum vulgare. RNAcentral describes it as "long non-coding RNA (HVUL_LNC006603)". The record is from RNAcentral. Lineage: Eukaryota; Viridiplantae; Streptophyta; Magnoliopsida; Poales; Poaceae.